RNAcentral lists this long non-coding RNA (1549 nucleotides) under Homo sapiens (human). RNAcentral describes it as "non-protein coding lnc-XXYLT1-5:1". The record is from RNAcentral. Lineage: Eukaryota; Metazoa; Chordata; Mammalia; Primates; Hominidae.
CCCCAGUUCCCACCACCACUCCCAGCCUCUGGUAACCAUCCUUCUACUCUCCAGCUCCCUGAGUCCAGUUGUUUUAUUUUUUAGAUCCCACAAAUAAGUGAGAACAUGAAUGUUUGUCAUUCUGUUCCUGGCCGGCAAAUUCUUGAUAUCUAAUAGCAAAGCUUCCUACCUUCCCUCCUUCAAUUUUGUAUGAAUCAAAAUUAAUAUCUUUAUUAUAUCUUCAAAUCUGUGUGCUUGGUAUAUUCUCCAUUUAAGUUUUCUUUAAUGGCUUUCAUAAAGUUUUAUGAUUUUUCUUGUACAUCUUUUGUUAGAUUUAUUCCUAGACACUUGUAUUCUAAAUGUUAUCUUUAAAUUUAUUUAUUUUACCACUGUUAUCAGUGUAUUUAAGGAGAUUCUAACACUAUGUCUUUCAUCCAACAUAUUUCAUUGCUAAAGUUAUGAAAUCUGUCACAUUUUAAGUACUACAAAAUAUUAGCUGAUAUUAAUAGUAAUUAAAUUGAAGACAAUUUAUCUCAAGAAGUAUAGUUGAAAAUUAGAGAAACACUUGUAAUGCCCUGCACUUUCAAAGAAGUCUUUUAAGUUGACCAAGGUUUUGAAAAACUGCAGAUGUUACAAAUGAAACCUUUAGAAUGUUAACAAAGUCAAUUAUAUUUAUAUUUACUGCUUCCUUAAUUCUCUCUGUAUAAUUAAAUAAAUUGUAGCGUCAAAUAAAUUUUAAAUGAGGGCAUUAAAGUUUCCCUGAUUUUUUUUUCCCCCAAAGAAAAAGUAGGAAGCAAUGUAGCAAUUUGUUUACAGAUUCUCCUUCAUUUGAUUAUUUUGGAUUAUCAGGUCUUUUCGUGGUUAAAGUUUCAAAGGUGUCAGGAGAGGUUAUUUUUUUUUCUCUUUUGAAAUUCUGAAUUUAGUCUGUUUCCUGUUCCUGACUUAGUACACUUUUAAAUUUGGAGGGCCCUUAGAUGGUUGUCCCUCUGCCUUCCCUCUGGUGCAAGGCCCCAGCAUCUCAGUAGAUACUGCCAAAAUGUUUCCCAAGACAGGACGUUUACUGCUCCUUAAUAGGGUAGAAUUCUAAUUUUAAUUAUUGGUCCAGGAGGAAUUUUAAAAGUUAUGGGACUGGCUUUAGAGUUUUAAAUUUGCUGAAAACAGCAGUCUUAGAGUUGUGUUCAAAAUGCUUUGAAGUUUGUUAGGCAAUAUUUUAAAUAUUGAAUUUCUGAUUUCCAAACUUCAUGAAUGUGUGGAAGAAAAUUGGAAGUUUAAAUUGCAUUCAGGUGAAGAUUUAGAUAAUUAGAACGCUAGAAGAAGACUAUGAGUGAUUUCAUAGUACUCAUAAAAAAGUGAGUUCAACUUGCCCACUUCAAACUGUAGACUAAGAUCUGUUUCCUUUGAAAACUAAAUUUUAUUUUAGGAAAAAAUGCCAUAGACAGUGUCAGAUUGAAGGACUACCACCCCUGGGCUCAGUGGCUCACACCUGUAAUUCCUGCACUUUGGGAGGCUGAGGCAGGUGAAUCACUUGAAGUCAGGAGUUUGAGACCAGCCUGGCUAACAUGGUGAAAUC